GUUUUAAUAGUUUAAUAAAAACAUUGGUCUUGUAAAUCAAAAAUAAGUUACUUACUUUUAAAACU
This 65-nucleotide transfer RNA is filed under the name Archichauliodes deceptor. RNAcentral's name for it is "tRNA-Thr". It matches the Rfam family "tRNA". Rfam says of the family: Transfer RNA (tRNA) molecules are approximately 80 nucleotides in length. Their secondary structure includes four short double-helical elements and three loops (D, anti-codon, and T loops). Lineage: Eukaryota; Metazoa; Arthropoda; Insecta; Megaloptera; Corydalidae. The record is from RNAcentral.